Molecule: ribosomal RNA, 1143 nt
Filed under: Bacillus amyloliquefaciens
Lineage: Bacteria; Bacillati; Bacillota; Bacilli; Caryophanales; Bacillaceae
Description: bacterial SSU rRNA
Source: RNAcentral
GGGAGCUUGCUCCCUGAUGUUAGCGGCGGACGGGUGAGUAACACGUGGGUAACCUGCCUGUAAGACUGGGAUAACUCCGGGAAACCGGGGCUAAUACCGGAUGGUUGUUUGAACCGCAGGUUCAGACAUAAAAGGUGGCUUCGGCUACCACUUACAGAUGGACCCGCGGCGCAUAGCUAGUUGGUGAGGUAACGGCUCACCAAGGCGACGAUGCGUAGCCGACCUGAGAGGGUGAUCGGCCACACUGGGACUGAGACACGGCCCAGACUCCUACGGGAGGCAGCAGUAGGGAAUCUUCCGCAAUGGACGAAAGUCUGACGGAGCAACGCCRCGUGAGUGAUGAAGGUUUUCGGAUCGUAAAGCUCUGUUGUUAGGGAAGAACAAGUGCCGUUCAAAUAGGGCGGCACCUUGACGGUACCUAACCAGAAAGCCACGGCUAACUACGUGCCAGCAGCCGCGGUAAUACGUAGGUGGCAAGCGUUGUCCGGAAUUAUUGGGCGUAAAGGGCUCGCAGGCGGUUUCUUAAGUCUGAUGUGAAAGCCCCCGGCUCAACCGGGGAGGGUCAUUGGAAACUGGGGAACUUGAGUGCAGAAGAGGAGAGUGGAAUUCCACGUGUAGCGGUGAAAUGCGUAGAGAUGUGGAGGAACACCAGUGGCGAAGGCGACUCUCUGGUCUGUAACUGACGCUGAGGAGCGAAAGCGUGGGGAGCGAACAGGAUUAGAUACCCUGGUAGUCCACGCCGUAAACGAUGAGUGCUAAGUGUUAGGGGGUUUCCGCCCCUUAGUGCUGCAGCUAACGCAUUAAGCACUCCGCCUGGGGAGUACGGUCGCAAGACUGAAACUCAAAGGAAUUGACGGGGGCCCGCACAAGCGGUGGAGCAUGUGGUUUAAUUCGAAGCAACGCGAAGAACCUUACCAGGUCUUGACAUCCUCUGACAAUCCUAGAGAUAGGACGUCCCCUUCGGGGGCAGAGUGACAGGUGGUGCAUGGUUGUCGUCAGCUCGUGUCGUGAGAUGUUGGGUUAAGUCCCGCAACGAGCGCAACCCUUGAUCUUAGUUGCCAGCAUUCAGUUGGGCACUCUAAGGUGACUGCCGGUGACAAACCGGAGAAAGGUGGGGAUGACGUCAAAUCAUCAUGCCCCUUA